RNAcentral lists this ribosomal RNA (253 nucleotides) under uncultured bacterium. RNAcentral's name for it is "partial 16S ribosomal RNA". It matches the Rfam family "Bacterial small subunit ribosomal RNA", at positions 524 to 776 of the family's 1533-position model. The record is from RNAcentral.
UACGGAGGGGGCAAGCGUUAUUCGGAAUUAUUGGGCGUAAAGGGUGCGUAGGCGGCUUGUCAAGUCGGGUGUGAAAGCCCCCGGCUUAACCGGGGAAUUGCGCCCUAAACUGACGAGCUGGAGUGGGACAGGGGUGUGUGGAACUUCCGGUGGAGCGGUGAAAUGUGUUGAUAUCGGAAGGAACGCCGGUGGCGAAAGCGACACACUGGGUCUCAACUGACGCUGAGGCACGAAAGCCAGGGGAGCGAACGGG